UCUCUGCGUGACAACAUUAUCCCUGCCUGUGGCUUUGUGCUGUGACCGUAUAUGCAAGAAUCGAAUUUAUUUUUCGCUGCAAGGUGAUGAGUGCAUCGUCUCGGCGGAGUUUUAAAUUUACUUUAACAAGAAGGACGCGUUCCUGUUUUGUUAUAAUUCUGCAGACGGUUCUGAUUCCUGACGAUUGUCCUCAGCGUGAUGUACGUGGAUACGCCGCACAUUAUUGACUAUGACGGGGCAAAAGUAAUAUUCAUAAUAGCUUUGAAAAUGCUGAGAUGGAGAAAUUGUGAAGAUGAACCAAUGCAACUAUUAUUCAGCUAGCUGAUGGAAAUUUACGAUCCGCAGCAAAUCGAUUCGGACAACGAAUUCAGUUGAGGAUAAUGCAACAACUGUUGAGGCCGAAAUUGAGGCAUCAUUAAGAUUUAUGAGACAAAGCAAUUAACUUCGCAGAAAAUAGAAAAGUUGAGCAAUAUCUGGAAAACAAUUUCGCGAAAAAGCACGAAGACGACUGGAAAGAAAGGAUGUAUUCAAACUAUUAUUCACAGUACACGAAUAGAAAACUAAUCCCGUACUCGCCAAGUAUCGCUCCACCGCCAAAACCAAAAAACAAAUGUAAUACUGCUGAUGUCGAAGUUGAAGUACGCCUAGCAGUGGGAUGAUCUACACCUACGAUUUUAUUCUAUUAAUGUCCGUAUGGUGGUGCGUCAGAAUCUGGAGUAGCUUACGAGAGCGAAGCUUUUGCUAAACAAGCAGUGCCAACAAGAUUCUCUACAGUGUACAACGGUGCCGCCGUCGUCGAGAGAUUAAGAGGGAGACAAAACAAAAUCGAACUACCAAAACGUUCCGGAUUCCUGGCCACUUCGCGGCAAAAGAAGAAAAGUACAAAUUACACGCGAGCCGGAAUGUAAUAUACUGUCUUUUCCUUAUGUAAUAAAAUAAGCAAA
Molecule: long non-coding RNA, 944 nt
Organism: Armigeres subalbatus
Lineage: Eukaryota; Metazoa; Arthropoda; Insecta; Diptera; Culicidae
Exons: 3
Source: RefSeq, a predicted model, not a curated record